This 3261-nucleotide ribosomal RNA is filed under the name Saccharomyces mikatae. Its description in RNAcentral is "large subunit ribosomal RNA". The stretch from base 201 to 3118 matches the Rfam family "Bacterial large subunit ribosomal RNA". Lineage: Eukaryota; Fungi; Ascomycota; Saccharomycetes; Saccharomycetales; Saccharomycetaceae. The record is from RNAcentral.
AGUAAAAAGUAGAAUAAUAGAUUUGAAAUAUUUAUUAUAUAGAUUUAAAGAGAUAAUCAUGGAGUACAAUUAAGAAUAAAUUAUCUUAAAAAUAUUUUAAGUAAUAAUUUAUUAAUAAGUAAUAACUAUUAAUAGAAUUAGGUUACUAAUAAAUUAAUAACAAUUAAUUUUAAAACCUAAAGGUAAACCUUUAAUAUUAAUAAUAUAAUAAUAUUAUAUUAUUAAUAAUGUAAUAACUAAGUGAACUGAAACAUCUAAUUAACUUAAGGAGAGUAAAUCAACAGAGAUAUUAUGAGUAUUGGUGAGAGAAAAUAAUAUAGUCUAAUAAGUAUUAUGUAAUAAUUAUGUAAGAAAAUAGGAUAACAAAUUCUAAGACUAAAUACUAUUAAUAAGUAUAAAAAGUACCGUAAGGGAAAGUAUGAAAAUGAUUAUUUUAUAAGCAAUCAUGGAUAUAAUUUUAAUAUUAAUGAUGUACCUUUUGUAUAAUGGGUCAGCAAGUAAUUAAUAUUAGUAAAACAAUAAAGUUAUAAAUAAAUAGAAAAAAAUAUAUAUAUAAAAAAAUAUAUUCAAAUAUUUAAUUAAUAUUAAUUGACCCGAAAGCAAACGAUCUAACUAUGAUAAGAUGGGUAAACGAUCGAACAGGUUGAUGUUGCAAUAUCAUCUGAUUAAUUGUGGUUAGUAGUGAAAGACAAAUCUGGUUUGCAGAUAGCUGGUUUUCUAUGAAAUAUAUGUAAGUAUAGCCUUUAUAAAUAAUAAUUAUUAUAUAAUAUUAAAUAUAUUAUAUAAAGAACGGUACAGCAAUUAAUAUAUAUUAGGGAACUAUUAAAGUUUUAUUAAUAAUAUUAAAUCUCGAAAUGUUUAAUUAUAUAUAAUAAAGAGUCAGAUUAUGUGCGAUAAGGUAAAUAAUCAAAAGGGAAACAGCCCAGAUUAAGAUAUAAAGUUCCUAAUAAAUAAUAAGUGAAAAAAAUAUUAAAAUAUUAUAAUAUAAUCAGUUAAUGGGUUUGACAAUAACCAUUUUUUAAUGAACAUGUAACAAUGCACUGAUUUAUAAAAAAAAUAAUAUUAAAAAUCAAAUAUAUUAAUAUAUUUGUUAAUAGAUAAUAUACGGAUCUUAAUAAAUAAGAAUUAUUUAAUUUCAAGAAUAACAAUUUUUGAUAUACCAUAUUAAUAUAAUAUGUGUACUGAAUAUCUAAAUAUUAUUAUUAAUAAAUUUAUAAUAAUAAUAAUAUGGUAAUAGAACAUUUAAUGAAAAAAUAUAUUAGUUAUUAAUUAAUAUAUGUAUUAAUUAAAUAGAGAAUGCUGACAUGAGUAACGAAAAAAAGGUAUAAACCUUUUCACCUAAAACAUAAGGUUUAACUAUAAAAGUACGGCCCCUAAUAAAUAUUAAGAAUAAAAAUAUAUUUUAGAUGGGUUAAUCUAUAUUAAAAAAAUAAAAAUCUUAAAAUAUAUAUAUAUAUAUAAUAAUAUUUAUAUAUAUAUAUAAUUAUAUAAAUAAAUAAUAAUAUUAUUAUUAAUUUUUAUAUAAACUAAUAAAGAUCAGGAAAAUAUUAAUGUAUACCGUAAUGUAGACCGACUCAGGUAUGUAAGUAGAGAAUAUGAAGGUGAAUUAGAUAAUUAAAGGGAAGGAACUCGGCAAAAAUAGCUCAUAAGUUAGUCAAUAAAGAGUAAUAAGAACAAAGUUGUACAACUGUUUACUAAAAACACCGCACUUUGCAGAAACGAUAAGUUUAAGUAUAAGGUGUGAACUCUGCUCCAUGCUUAAUAUAUAAAUAAAAUUCUUUAACGAUAAUUUUAUUAAAUUUAGGUAAAUAGCAGCCUUAUUAUGAGGGUUAUAAUGUAGCGAAAUUCCUUGGCCUAUAAUUGAGGUCCCGCAUGAAUGACGUAAUGAUACAACAACUGUCUCCCCUUUAAGCUAAGUGAAAUUGAAAUCGUAGUGAAGAUGCUAUGUACCUUCAGCAAGACGGAAAGACCCUAUGCAGCUUUACUGUAAUUAGAUAGAUCGAAUUAUUGUUUAUUAUAUUCAGCAUAUUAAGUAAUCCUAAUAUUUUAUAAAAAUAUAGGUAAUCGUUUAGAUAUUAAUGAGAUACUUAUUAUAAUAUUAUGAUAAUUCUAAUCUUAUAAAAAAAAAUAAUAAUAAUUAUUUAUUAAUUUAUAUAUAUAUUUAUAUAUCUUUAUAUAUAAAUAAUUAUUUUUAUAACUUAAUAGAUAUAUUCUUAAGUAAAUAUAUAAUAUAUGUUUUAUAUAUUAUAUAUAUAUAUAUAAGAGACAAUCUCUAAUUGGUAGUUUUGAUGGGGCGUCAUUAUCAGCAAAAGUAUCUGAAUAAGUCCAUAAAUAAAUAUAUAAAAUUAUUAAAAAAUAAAUAAUAUAUAUUAUAUAUAUUAAUUAUAAAUUGAAAUAUAUUCCUUAUGUAUAUUAAUUUUAAUUAUAAAUUAUAUUAAUUUCAUAAGUAUAUAAAUAUUUAUUGAAUAUAUUUUAGUAAUAGAUAAGAAUAUGUACAGUAAAAUUGUUAGGAAAACAAUAAUAAUUUCUAUAAUAUAUAGAAGGAAUUAGAUUAAUAUAAUGGUAUAACUGUGCGAUAAUUGUAACACAAACAAGUGAAACAAGUACGUAAGUAUGGCAUAAUGAACAAAUAACACUGAUUGUAAAGGUUAUUGAUAACGAAUAAAAGUUACGCUAGGGAUAACAGGGUAAUAUAACGAAAGAGUAGAUAUUGUAAGUUAUGUUUGCCACCUCGAUGUCGACUCAACAUUUCCUCUUGGUUGUAAAAGCUAAGAAGGGUUUGACUGUUCGUCAAUUAAAAUGUUACGUGAGUUGGGUUAAAUACGAUGUGAAUCAGUAUGGUUCCUAUCUGCUGAAGGAAAUAUUAUCAAAUUAAAUCUCAUUAUUAGUACGCAAGGACCAUAAUGAAUCAACCUAUGGUGUAUCUAUUGAUAAUAAUAUAAUAUAUUAUUUUAUUUAUAAUUUUUAUAAAUUAUAAUAUAUUAUCUAUAUUAGUUUAUAUUUUAAUAAUUAUUAUUGUCAUAGUAGAUAAGCUAAGUUGAUAAUAAAUAAAUAUUGAAAACAUAUUAAAUAUGAAGUUGUUUUAAUAAGAUAAUUAAUCUGAUAAUUUUAUACUAAAAUUUAAAUGAAUAUUAUUUAAUUCUUAAUAAAUAAUAAUUAUAGGUUUUAUAUAUUUUUUAUAUAUAUAUAAUAUAUAUAAUAUUAAUAAAAUACUAAUUUAUCAGUUAUCUAUAUAAUAUCUAAUCUAUUAUUCUACAUAUU